RNAcentral lists this long non-coding RNA (23240 nucleotides) under Arabidopsis lyrata. RNAcentral's name for it is "long non-coding RNA (ALYR_LNC000905)". The record is from RNAcentral. Lineage: Eukaryota; Viridiplantae; Streptophyta; Magnoliopsida; Brassicales; Brassicaceae.
AAAACCUUAGGUGGAAUGGUUCAACAUACUUGGACCUUUCUAGUCAUCAUUGUGUAGUCAUUCACUUAUGUGUCGACACCAUCGUAUGUUAAAGGAUACCAAUCUAAGUACAAUUAUAGAUAUGUGAUAAUUAGAUUGUUGUUUCGUUUUCAUUUUUCAAACAGUACUCUAACAGAAGUAUCAAAACUCAUGAGUAUCAUGAAGUUAUUUAAACGUUUAAACCGUUAAAAAUGACAUUUCAGCAUUAAAACCUCAACGCCCAAUUAAAUCAAUGCAACUAAUGCAAUCGUUUUAUGUAUCAUUUCAACCUCGACACUUCAACCGAUUCUGCCAUUACAAUUCCUCCAACUAACCCAACCAACAUAAUUCACGCACACAUACUUCGUUAUGCUUAGAAACUCUUUUUAUGCUUUAAGAAGUCCCUAGUCAACUAAAGAAGCAAAACAACAGCUUUUUGUUUUGUGCUUUGUUAGUCUAUCUUUUAGACAACAUUACCUUUGUAAUUAACUAAUAAUUCAAAUUUUAAUCUUUCUGCAUUAAUUCGAGAUUCUUCACUCGGUGGUUAUCGUUGUCAGCCAGAAUUAAAAAUAGUAUAGUUUUCUCUUAAUUUUUUUACUAAAACUAAACAAAAAAACUUAUCUUUACGUAUCAUUAGUGGUAGUUAUCGUAUGGACCAAAAAGUCAUAAUUGUUAAUUUUGGGGGUUUGUGGAAAAAGAGAGGAAUGCUUGUUACCUACUCUUAUUAACUUCUCUCAUUCUCUCUUUCUUCUCUGCUACAACAGUCUCUCUAAUCACAUUGAGACAUAGAGAGAGAGAUUUGACAAAAGAAACUUAUUAAAGUCUUCUAAGGUUUAUUUUCUUGCUUUUUGUUGUGUUCUUGUUCUUUUGGCAAAAUGCAGAACAAACACAAAUGCAAGCUUUGUUCCAAGAGUUUCUGUAAUGGCAGAGCACUUGGUGGUCACAUGAAGUCUCACUUGGUCUCUUCUCAGUCGUCGACUCGGAAGAAACUCGGUGACUCGGUCUAUUCUUCUUCUUCUUCUUCCUCCGAUGGUAAAGCUCUCGUCUACGGGUUGCGAGAGAACCCGAGGAAGAGUUUCCGGGUCUUUAAUCCGGAUCCUGAGUCCUCCACCGUUUACAACAGUGAAACAGAGACCGAACCUGAGUCCGGAGACCCGGUUAAGAAACGGGUCACAGCAAAUGUUUCAAAGAAGAAGAAGAAGGCAAAGAGCAAGAGUAAGAAGCAGAAGACGAGUCACGAGUCACCAGAACCGGCGAGUUCUGUCUCUGAUGGUUCUCCGGAACAAGAUUUAGCUAUGUGUUUGAUGAUGCUGUCGAGAGAUUCAAGGGAGCUUGAGAUUAAACUGAAAAAACCGGUUUCUGAGGAGGAAGAGACGAAGCCGGAGAAAAGACAUUUCCCGGAGCUCCGCCGUUGUAUGAUAGAUCUGAAUCUUCCUCCGCCGCAAGACGCCGAAGCUGUUACCGUCGUUUCAGCCAUAUAAAGGUUUCAGAGAUUAGAGUUCCAUCAAAAAUCAAAGAAUCUUGAUGAUUUGGUUUGUCUUCAAGAUUAUUAUUCUUUAUUAGAAAAAACCGUUUAUUGGUUUUGGAAUCUUUGGGAUGAUAUUAUUAUCAAACAAUGUACUUUUGAUGUAAGACAACCAAAAAAAAAAAAAAAGAAGCAAGAAAGAAACUAGCUCUGUUUCUAGUUUUCUUAACAAUUUGAGCUUUCUUGAAUAUCCAGGAUGAUUAUAGAUUGUUGGAUCUUUCUUUGUUAUGUCGUUUUGAUGAUAUUUGGAAUUCUUGAGAUGAUUCUUUUGCAUGAUCUUUCGAUCUUGGAUCUUUUAUUUUAUUAAUGUGUUUUUAAUGGAACUAUUUAAUUUCAACUACAUUUUUUUAUGACACAACUCACACAAGUGUGUGCUAUUUUAAAUAAUGUAAAUAUUAUUCUCGCUACGUAUAACAACUAGUAUACACUGUGGUGAUACUCAAAAGUCUCAAAACCAUCCAAAAUAUGAUCAGUCAUAAGAGCAUGGUCAUGGGUGAUACUCAUAAAGUAUCAUUAAGAAUUUUUUUGUAUUAUUUAUAAUGUUUGUUUAAUAUUUUUUUUUAAUUUUUUCUCCUACUUUUGGCAAACGCGACCAAUUAGGAGAUGCCACGUCAGAUGAUACCGAUAUCAAAAGUAUCACUGGGUUGAUACUAAUCAUGCCCAUUCUAAUUAUUUUGUCAAUAUAAAAAUAAUAUUUGAGCUUGUGAUACUCUAAAAAUAUCACCCAUGUACAUGGUCUAAACAUUCAAAAAUAUCUCGAUAAGUGAAAUAUCUAAACUCAAAAAUACUGAGAUAUUUCACCUAAAAAUGCAAUGAAUUAUAUUCGUUGAAUAGUGGUGUAAUUCUCUUCUUGAACCUCUGACAAACUAGCUACGAAGAAUUAAAUCGAAUUUUUAUCUGAAUCAGAGAGAUCGUAUAUCUUAAAUUUCUGAUAUAUCGGUUUAUAUCCACCUUAUGCAUUACUACUUUUUUCUCAAAACAAUAAAAAGACAAUUACUUAUUGACAAAAGAAAAGAAAGGAUAAUUACUUAUUUGGUUCUUUAAUUCCUAAUUUGUUUGUGGUGUCGUUUGUGUCGCCAGCUGCAUCUUGUGUAACUCUGUCUAGUAGUAGUUUUAUACCAAAACAGAACCAAUUACCUAUGUUUCUUUCUUGACACAAAAAAAAAAAAGAAGAAAAAAACUCAGCACACAAUUUUUUAUUUUAUGGGCAAGGUCAUUAAGUAACAUACUUAUUUAUUACAGAAAUAUCCCUGAAUCCAUCUUCAAAAUCACGUUUCUGCAUGUUUACCCUUGCCUGACUCUCAGAGUUAAACAAACAAUUAUCCACUGACAGAUCGACACCAGAAUUAAACGAAGAGUCUUUUUCUUUAUAUAUAUUUUUUAGAUUUUUAGUUUGCUUGAGUAAUUUUCUUAAGAAAAAAGAACAAACAUUUCAUUAUGUGUCCGAACAGUUUGAAGAUGAAGGGUAUUUUAGUAUCAUGUCAUAUCAUAUAAAGGUCGGGGGACAUGUGGCACAACUUUUUCGCUUUAAGCUUCCUUUGGAAAAUAUGUGGACCGAUCAUAGAAAUACAAAUUAUGUACCCAAUUUAUCUAUUUUAGAGGUACCAAAUUUUAAGUGUCAUUCAUGUUCACCAUAAUUUUGGUUGAUAAUUUUAUAAUAUUUACACAAAAUAACAAUCUGUAAGAACAUUAUUCGAAAACAUAACAUAGCUAAGAUGUUUUUGUAAAUAAUAUGUAUUUCAUAUAUCUUACAAAGUGGUUACACGAUCAUAUAUAUACAAAAACAGAGGAAUAUUCUAGGUUAGAGCAAGUAUAAAAUGUUAUGUAAAAAAGGAAAGGAGAUAUUGAGGUAAUGAAGGCCAUGAUUCUGCUAUAUCCUUAACACCCUCCCUCAAGAUGGAGGGGAUUUGAUCACUCCAAUCUUGUUUCUUAACUCUAGGAACCGAGAACGAGCUAACGGUUUGGUGAGCGUAUCCGCUAGUUGAUCCUUUGUAUUGACGUGGGCGACGCGGAGGAGUCCAUUUUGUAUUUGACCACGGACGAAGUGGUAAUCAAUGGCAAUAUGUUUCAUCCUCGAGUGAAAAACGGGAUUAGCGCAUAGAAAUGUGGCGCCGAUAUUGUCACAGUAAAUGACUGGUGCUACUGGAAGUAUGAUUCGUAGCUCAGUGAGGAUGUUGCAUAUCCAACGUAUUUCAGAGGCGGUGUUGGCGACGGACCUGUACUCAGCUUCUGUUGACGAUCUUGACACACCGUUCUGCUUUUUGGCUGACCAUGAUAUUGGAUUUCUUCCUAGGUGGACAAUGUAUGCAUUUGUGGAUACAUAAUCAUGUGAAUCUCCAGCCCAAUCUGCAUCGGAAAAUGCAUGAAGUGUGAGCUGAUUGUUUGCGGAGAAGAAGAUCCCAUGAGUCGUUGUUCCGGCUAGAUAUCGGAGAAUUCUCUUUGCAGCCUGCCAGUGAUCUUCUGUUGAGCGAUGCAUAAAUUGAGAGAGACGAUUUACAGCAUAUCCAAUAUCAAGUCUCGUGAAGGCAAGAUAUUGCAAACUCCCGACCAGUUUCCGGUAAGAAGUUGGGUCUGUGAGGGUCGAACCUGAGGUGAGUGUCAGUUUUGGAGAUGAGGCCAUUGGUGUGCUGACGGGCUUGGCGUCUAUCAUGUUAUAGCUAUGGAGAAGAUCCAGAAUGUAUUUUCUCUGUGAGAGAUGCAGUCCUUUUGAUGUUCGAUGUGCUUCAAUGCCUAGGAAAUAGUUGAGGUCCUCCGGAUCCUUUACCGAAAACCUGUCAGCAAGUAGCUCAAGAAUCCGAGCAAUGCAUGAUCCAUUGCUACCCGUGAUAAGGAUGUCGUCUACAUAUACCAGCAGGUAUACAUAGUCUUUACCAUGUUGGAGAACGAACAAGGACGUAUCAGCCAGUGAGUUUGUGAAGCCAAGACUGAGAAGAUAAGUUUUCAAUUCUGUGUACCACGCACGCGGAGCCUGUUUCAGUUCGUAGACUGUUUUUCGAAGUCGGCAUACAUAAGAAGGGUUGUCGGAAUCAACGAAUCCAGGAGGUUGUUCCAUAUAGACUUCUUCAUUUAGAGUUCCUUGAAGGAACGCGUUGUUCACGUCCAACUGUUUUAUAGGCCAAGACUUUGAGACAGCAACAUCAAGCACGAGACGGAUGGUGGUGGAUUUGAUUACUGGACUGAACGUAUUAGUGUAGUCACGUCCUUGUUGUUGAUUGUAACCCUUGGCCACCAACCUUGCUUUACACCUGCCAAGAUAACCAUUAGAUAGAAAUUUGUUUUUGAAUAGCCAUUUGCAACCAACGACAUUGAAGUGAGGUUGCCGUGGAACCAAAUCAAAAGUCUGAUUUCUCGCAAAGGCAUCAAAUUUAGUUGACAUAGCACCACGCCAAUUCGGGUCUUUCAAAACCUGGUUCACGGUCCUUGGUUCAGGUGGUAUUGGGGUGGACAGGGCAACGGAGAGGUUAAGUUUUGAUUUGGGUUUGGUUAUGUUGUUUUUUGCACGAGUUUUCAUGGGGUGAAGGUUUGUUUGUUCUUGAGUUUCAGCUACAGGUACGGUUGAUGUCGAGGGAAGAGUGAUGUUUGUAGGAUUGGAUUUUGUCUUUUUUGGGUUUGGGCCAUGAUUUGAUUGGGCCGAUGAUGUUGGGCUAGGAAGUGGGUUGGUUUCUUUUUGGGCUUGAGUUGGUGCGUUAUUGGGCCGUGGGUAGAAGAGUUUGAUGGGUCUGGUUGGGUGUCGGGUCUAGUUGAGGAACGUACCUGGGAAUUGGUUUCGAUUUCUCGAUUCAGUGGUGACUCACGACUAUCAUUAUUGAAUUCGUUUCCCUGCGAUACGUUCUGGUGAUGGUCCGAGCUCGAGAGUCCAGGCGAAGACGGCAGAGACGGUGAUACGAGUGGAGGCUGUGGGAUGACGACGGCUUGUGGGUUUGUGGCGAUUUGAGUGAGAGCUGUGUUUGAUGGUGGUGGAUUUUGAGAAGAUUUUCGGAAUGGGAAUGUCUGUUUAUCGAAUUUGACGUGUCUAGAGAUGUAGAUACGACCUGAGGCUGGUUCAAGACAAAGAUAUGCACUUUGAGUGAGUGAAUAUCCUAAGAAGAUGCAGGGAGUGGAUCGAUUCUCGAGUUUAUGAUGAGUGUAUGGACGCAACCAAGGAAAACAGAGACAGCCGUAGACUCGUAGCUUUGCAUAAUUUGGUUCUUCACCGAAUAGUUUCUGGAAUGGAGUGUUCAUCGCAAGCACGGGCGUCGGUAGACGGUUGAUCAAGUAUACCGCAGUGGCGAAUGUGUAGGUCCAAUAGGACGUUGGCAUGGCAGCAUGUGUGAGGAGAGUUAGCCCGGUUUCCACAAUGUGACGAUGCUUCCUUUCGGAGAUUCCAUUGUGUUCUGGAGUGUGAGGCGGUGAGGUGAAAUGAGCGAUUCCGGCAUUAGAGAGGAAGGAUCGGAGAGCUAUGAAUUCACCACCAUUGUCUGAAUAUAGAGUUCCGAUUUUGGUGUUGAACCGAUUCUCAACGAGGGCUUUGAAGGGAAUGAAUGUGUCUUUCACUUGCGAUUUUGUUUUGAGUGGAUACAUCCAUGUGUAACGUGUAUAGUGAUCGAUAAGAACCAAGUAAUACUUGUAAUUAUCUACGGAGAUAAUCGGUGAGGUCCACACAUCAGUGAAGAUAAAUUCAAGAGGGCGAGAGGAGGUAAUGGACGUUUGUGAGAAGGGAAGUUUAUGACUUUUAUUUAUGGAGCAAUCAGUACAAAGUAUGUUUUGAGAACUCGAUUGCUUGCAAGGAAGAGAAAAGGUAGAAACAACUGUUUUAAGAAUAGAGGAAGACGGGUGGCCAAGGCGGUAGUGCCAUUCUGCUAAGGUUGGGUUUGAUGAAGAGGAAGCAAAGAAGGAGUUUAUUGUGGAUGGAGAGACUGGCCACUCGUAUAACUCAUCUCUAGUCUUGCCUUGGAGUAAUGGGACCCCUGAGCUGAGAUCCUUCACCUGAAAGUGGGCAGGGAAAAAUUCAACAGAAACUUUGUUAGAAUUACAUAGUCGAUAGACCGAGAUGAGAUUUUUAUGAAUGUUUGGGACACAUAAGACAUUAUUUAAGGAUAGGUUUCUAGAGGUAGAGGGUAGAGAUAGUGAACCAGUAUGAGUAAUUGAGAGACCAGAACCGUCACCGAUUAGCACAGCAUCAUCUCCAUGGUAUGGUUGAUGCAUCGCUAAGUUAUGAAGAUCACUUGUCAUGUGGUGUGUUGCCCCGCUAUCGAGUAGCCAUGGAUUCGUCGGGUGUGGAGAACCAAGUGCUAGAUUAGCACGUGGCUGCCAUGGGCGGAAUGGAGAAGGCAGUAAGCUUGACUGUGCGCUUGAUUGUUGUUGCUGCAGUUGUGAAUAUUUCCGGGCACUGUGACCGAACACACCACACAGCUGACACUUACCUUGAUACCCCUUUAUUACACGACCAUCCUGUUUUGUGGAUUGGUACUGUUGGUGAUUGUUAUUGUUCCAGGAUUGGUGAUUGCGAGACUGUUGUUUGCCGUUGAAAGGGCGUUGACGUGUGGUAGCAGUAUUAGCAGAGAUGGGGACCACGCUUGCUGUGGAGAGAGAUGUGGCCAUUAGCUUUGCUUCUUUGUUGAUGAGUUUUUCAUGAACUUCAGUGAUAGAUGGUGGAGUUUCACGUCCCUCAACUUGAUCAACGACGGAUUUGUAUUCUUCCGGGAGACCUUGGAGAAUGAAUUCGAUCUGCUCUUCAUGCUCUAGUGGCUUUCCAAGGAGAGCAAGCUGGUCAAAGCGUGUCGUUAAUCCUUGCAUAUACUCGUCAAUCGUUUUAUCACCUUUGGUUUGAUUCUUCAGUUGAAUGCGCAAUUGCUGGGUGUGACCCCAACUUGGCUUGGCGUACGUCGCAGUGAUAUGUUUCCACAUUUCUGCAGCAGAUCUGGUCUUUGAGACUAAGGACUGAAUUGAUGGUGAGAGGGUUCCAAUGAGGCCACUGUAAAUUAACUUAUCUUGAUGUCUCCAUUUUGUGUAGGCAGGAUUGAGUGUGGAUUGGUUGUUGACAGUGACGGUCGGAUCUGGUGGGACAGUGGAUCCAUCGAGGUACCCCGCAAGGUCGUAACCAUCAAGGAGUGAAUGAACUUGGAGGCUCCAUGUUAUGUAGUUGUUGGAGGUGAGUUUCGUCACGUUCAUCAUGUUGACGUUGAGGAGAGAUUGAGUGGUGUUAACAGUUUCAGCUAGGGCAGCCAUGGUGAGAAUUGAAACUGAGUAGAGAGAAGAGAAUAUGAGGAGCAGAGAUCUAGAGAGAGAGAGAGAGAGGCGGCUGCGAGAGAAAAAAAAUUUUAUUUAGGCUCUGAUACCAUGUAAAUAAUAUGUAUUUCAUAUAUCUUAUAAAGUGGUUACACGAUCAUAUAUAUACAAAAACAGAGAAAGGUUCUAGGUUAGAGCAAGUAUAGAAUGUUAUGUAAAGAAGGAAAGGAGAUAUUGAGGUAAUGAAGGCCAUGAUUCUGCUAUAUCCUUAACAGUUUUGACAAAAAUAUCAUAUUAACUCAUCAGGGCCCACUGUAAAACAGUGCAGUGGCACUCGAGUAGACCUCCCUGUAAAACGACAUAGUGUCUGAUGAAUCUGAAUAGGCUUAACUCUGAAGAACUUAGUGGGCCAUUAUGAACCUCAUUUGAUCUGGCCCAUUUUGAUGUGCUCAUUAGUUAGAAACUCAGUUUUUUUGAAACUUAUACAGUAGUUCCAUUUAUGCAUUUCUCUCAGUUAAAAUCAAAGAAAAUAAAGUUACUGUUAUCUUUGUUAAUCCUCUCUAACCUUUAUUAUGUACAUAAGCAAUCCAUCAAGAUGAUCAAAAUCUUGCCGUCUUAAUCAGUACAAUUUGCUGAGACAAGAAGUGACUCCUGAUUCACCCAACCGCGGAAACAAAACCUCUUUGUCAAUCAUAACCUGAAGAUGUGAUGUGAUCUUCACAAAGGAGACCCAUAGAAACGGUGCACAACAAAAUGCAUACCCGAAAACGGACAAUGCUCUGACAACGCCAUCAGGAUAAGAAGGAAAAGCCAUCACUAGGAGCGUUCCGAAAAUGCCAAUCAACGGUGUUAUGACGGGGAGCAUUGGAAGCAAGAAGGCAUUGAUGGGUAUGGUAGAGAGAACAAAGGAGCCGGUUAAGUAGAGAGACCAACCGAUGAGCGGGUGGAUCGUCUGUGGGAUGAUGAAGAAUGGUAUAAUGUAGGCUGAGAGGAUCAAGAGGAGUGCAACAACCUUGAAAGUUGUCUGGAUCACGCUUAGAUUCUUAUCAGAACGUCGAUACCAUAGCUUGGUCAUGUUGGGACGCGCUAGGCGUGUGACUAGUAUGAUCCCUAGAUAGAACACUGCUUGGAUUAUAACCCAAGGCAUCUCUGUGGAAUAACUACAAUGACAGCAGAGGAUUAGUCCUGACUGUUAAAUUUUUUAUACGAGACAAUGAGAGGUUGAAACCUAGACUAAUCCUAAAAACAUGUAAUUGCUAUAUAUACUCCUAGAAUGGUAAAUUUGAACGUGUAUCAGAUGGAAUUCUAGUUGGAGGUUACGAGUAUUAGUCUUGGUUUCGGUUUAGUAAUUAAAUAAAACGAACCUUAUGGUGUAGCGGCGUUGGUGGUGCCAUGAGAGACCUAAAGGAAGAACAGGCCAUGACCACCAGUACCAUGGCUUCAACCAAACUGCUCCUGGGAACGUAAUCACACUGUUUGGUCCACACGGUACGUUCCAUCUGAGUUUUAGGUCUAAUAAAGACAUAAAGAGAGCGACAUGCACACAUAAAUAGAUUACCAAAAUGUUAUUACUUUUGGGGUUCAUGAAAUGGAGAGAGUGGUGGUUACUUACAGUAAUAAGAUGCGUCCAUUUGAUAUCCCAAAGGAAGCCUAAAAUGUCCAGUAAGUGCGGUGGUAAGGUUAUCGGAAGGAGGACGAAAGAGAGGCUGAUUGAGUAAAUCAGAGAAGUAGCUGACAAGAAAGCCUUGAUCAGCUCCAUCAGAGUUAUCUCUCUUUACUUCAAGCUCAUGAAUCAUGUCUCUAAAGACCUCCAUUGAUGGCUGCAACACAAAGAGACCAGUGUGGAAGAUGCAAGGGUUAAUGAAGACAGCACAGAAUUGGCCACACUGGAAGAGCUCGUCCGUGUUUUUGAGGAAGAGAUUGUCGACGUCGAGCAUUACGACACGGUCAUAAUCAGAGAGAGACCAAGCGUAGAGCUUGUUUAGACUAAGCUUGAAUCUGUUGUCGAAGUUGGUUUGUUUCUUGUACGGAUUCUCAAGAUUCUCUACUCUCACUACUUUAGCUCCGUCCUCUUCUUCCCUAGAUACCCAAUUAGUGAAUUAUAUUAAUCAAAUUUACCAAAUAAAAAUAAAGAUUAUAUUAAUAAAUAGUUUCUUCUAAACAACUGCAGCAAGAAAAAAAAAACAUUAUGCAUAACUUUGAUUUAUAGUUCCUGAAUAUUCUAUAUUUUUUUCAGUUCCAAAAAAGGGAAAUCAACAAAAAAAAAGUUUUAAAAGGUCUGAGACUUUUAGUUACUAUAAUAAGGUAUCUGACAGCCAAUUUACUCUUUUUAACAAUGUUAUAUUUUCUUAUCUCUUUAAAGUUUAAAAUAAAAUCAACAAGCAAUCCCACUAAUAUAUACAUUUACACAUCUAAUCUCUUAAAUACUCACCUUCCACUAAAGAAAAGAGAAACAUCAAAUUUCCACCUAACUCAUGUAAGUUUGAAUAUGAAAAUGAAAAUGAAAAUGAAAAGGUGAUAUGAAUAUGAAGUAAUUCCGACAAACAAAGAAAUAAAUCAUUUUAAAAGUAAGCUUCUAUGUUUGAAAGAAAAAUCCUAUUAUGAUUUUUAUUUAUGGCUGAGAAAUUUUAAUCAACAAUAGAAGAAAAAAAGACAAGCAAUCCAAAACAGGUCGUGGAAAACACGUCUGCGACUAAUUAAGACUGUCUUGUUCUGGACAUUUUCAAUUUUAAUAAUAAUAUAUAUAUUAGAGCCAAAUAAUCACUUUUUGAAAAUUUUAAAUAUUAUUUUCAUGCUCUUUCCCGCAUUACUGCUCUUCCAUGUUCUCAUCUAUUUUUCCUCUAAAUUUUUUAAAAAUAUAUUAUGAAAAAUUUGUAUAAUCCAAAUGAGGUUAGAAAACUAUUUUAGAAAAUAAUGUUUUUUCCUUGAUUCAAAGAAGAAAAAAAAAAAGACUAGAGAUUUUUCUAACAAUUAAACGGUACCGUUUUGGCGAUGAAAAAGAAAAGAAAAAGAAGAUGAGGAGACCACACUUACAAAGCGUGAAUCCAGUUGAUCGGAACGUCGAGAGAGGCGAUGACGACGAUAUCAGCGUCCACGUGAAGACCCUUAAGCGAUCUGAUCAAGACACGUGUGGCAACGUAGAACUCGUAGUCUCUUGGUGUUCCCAUGUACAUCAUCGUCGCAUAAGCGUUCCUGUGCUCCGGCCGCUGCGUCUUUAAUCCUCGCUCCAUAACCGCGGUCAACGCGUUUGCGUUUUCCGUUUCAAACGGCUGGAACAGCUGUUUCUCGUUAUACGCUGUCGUUUCGAUGAUUAAAAGAAACAGAACCCAACAAGAGAACACUAUAGUUCUCUGACAAUCCAUGCUUAAUUUCUUCUUUAUACAAACAAACCAAGAGAAUUUUCAGAAUUCGGUUUUGUGGGGAAUUUCAAUUUUCAUGGUUUUUUGGGGUUUUACACAUGUAAUGUAAUCACUUAAUGUAAUGCAGUAAUGGAAUUAUGAAAGACAGAUGUUUCUGGGAGACUGGAAAGACUUUAAAAGGUCAAGUAGUGUGGCCAAUAUGAAUUAAUCUUUUUUAAAAAAAUUAUUUAUUUCCUUAGUUUUAAAUUCUCCAUUUUAAGAUAUAAAUUAUUUGGAAAUGUUUAACCAAAACUGGCUAGUAGGUGCAUGCUCGAAACAAAUUAGUGACUUACUGGUUGUUGAACACCCAAAAUUCAAAAUUUAAUGGACGUUGAGAAUUCUGAUACAUACUCUUUCUGUAAAAUAUUCAAUUUCUCCUCUGUCAUAUCUGUUUUGUUGAUCAGAACUCAGAACAUUGCAUCUUAUUAGUACUUAAACUCCACUAGGGAGGUAGUAUUUGGAUAGUAAGCAUUUUUUACCAAAAACAUGUCAUCAAAUUGGCUAAACGUAGACCGAAAGCAAACAAAAUUGAGGGAUUAUAAAUUGAAUGGGUCGUUGGGCGUAUAUACCCACUACUCCGCUACUCGUUAACACAAUCGCUUGAUUUGAAAAGAGAUAUGAAGAUAUGAGAUAGAAAUUAUAGUUAUAUUGAUGGUAUAAAUUUUGUCUAUCUUAAUCAUUUGAAAAAGAAUUUAGUUGAUACAUUGUCUUUUGUUUUUCUUUAGGUAAAAUUCGUCUGAUAGGUUUAGUCCUUAGAUGAAAUUUACUAAUACUCAUUGUUGAAUUAUUAGAGUACGUAGUUGAAUUAUUUUGUCGACUUUCAAAUAAAGGAUGAUAAAUAACAAUGGGGAAAUUACAGAGUGACGUAUACAUUCAAACAAACAAAAAAAUCUUAUUCGUUAUACUUAUACAACAUGUGAACAUGAUAUGGGGUCCAAACCGAACAAUGGUAAAACUGUAAAUAAGAACUAAAACAUGGACAAUUUAUUUGGUGACUAAAAAUAAUGGGCCGGGAAGGUUCUUAUUAGGUUCCAACAAAACCAAAACCGGAGACGAAAAAGGCCGUGGCCUGAAGAAAAAGAUAGAAAUGUAACCAUGUGUGGCCAUAGAUCAGGCCAUAGAGUGCACAUCCUAAUAUGUACACCCCCACCAUCACUUCCUUUGAAUUCACUCUGCAAUAGAAUAAAACAAAUUUUGAUCUUGUUAAAACUAUGUGUAUUCGUUAGAAAACAUCACCUAUAACAUAAGCGGAAAUAUAUGUAUAACUUCUUCAUCAAUUUCUCACCUCUCAUAACAAGAUUUCCUUUGAACGACCCGCGAGAGUAGCUUAUUCUUUAAAGCAUCUCCUAAUUUUUCGGUCACAACCCAUUCGUUCACUCUUCCUCCUUCAAGUAGGCCAAUGCACGUUCCUUUGGUUCGAUGCAUAGCCAUUACAUUCUCGAACAAGAUCCAAAAUAUCACGAGGUAGAAGGAUCUAGUCGAAUGCAUUAAAUUGAAAUCAGAAAACUGAAAAAUCUUGAUGAGUAAUUAGAUUAAUUAAUAGUUAGACUACCUUGGAGUUGCCAUGGUGUGGAAGAUAGUGAUCAAAGAGGGAAUGUAAAUGGUAGACCAAGAUGGGAUGUAGAUUUCAGGGAAGAAGACACUUGUUGGCACAAUUAUACAGUAGAAGAAGAAUGUCAAGAAGUGUACUGCCACUUUCCUUACGAAGAAAAAGCUGUAGAUCACAUAGAACUUCUUCCAUAUUGAUACUUUCUGUUCCAAAACAAACAUUCCUUGUUAAUUAAUUAGCUUUAUGUAAAACGAAUUACUUCAAUGCAAACAAUAUUAAAAUCGAACCAUUUUGAAACCGAACAAAACCUAAUUAAUUAGCCAAACUGGUUGAUAUAAGACCGUACAUAUCACACUACCCCGGUCCCAACGAGAGACAAAGAGAGGGACUUAAACCAAUCAAUCACUGAAACGUGUGUUUCAACACUGGUCCUCAACUAGUUCAAACAGGACACCCUGCUUAUCACUAUCACGGGUCCCAAUCCGUCUAAAGACAAAAUAAAUUAGGACAUCAGUCACUAAACACAUGGGGUCAGAAUGAAGCAAAGUGACAAAAAGGACCUUAUUACGAAUGAUCUCCAUCGUCAUUUUUCUAAAUAGAUUGGCCGGUCCACAGGACCACCUAUGUUGCUGGAAUCUGUAGGCCUUGAAUUUGCUUGGAAGCUCGUUUCUCACCUGCAUACCUCCAAAUUAGCCAUUUAUUGUUUUGUUUGUGAUAACAAAAGGAGACUAAUUAAUGUAUUUAGUAUUCUUAUGAUUUUGAGUAACUAAUUCUCUAAUAUAUAAAGGAAAACGUGUGUUACCUUGAGGUCGUUAAGGUAGACAAAUUUCCAGCCGUGAAGACCAACACGAACAGCCAAGUCCAUGUCCUCUACUGUGGUCCUUGAUUUCCAUCCUCCUGCUGCUUCCAUUGCCGAUAUUCUCCAUAUACCCGCGGUUCCUAUAAUUAUUAAUAUAUCACUUCUAUUUCAUGGUCCCAAAAAUAUGAGUCUUAUAGUCACCCACAAGGUGUUUUCAACGAGUUUAAUAAAUAAGUAGAGGGACUAAUAUUAAUCUUUUUAUGAAAUAUAUAUUUUUAUAUUUUCUCAUUUCCCUUUUAAUUUAAGGUUCACACGAUGCUUUCUCUUAGCUUAAGAUGGCAAUCCUUAAGGUUCAUCGUCUUAAUAUUUUUGACUACAAACCAUCCUUAGGUUGAUGAAAUGAUGACUGCCAACUCAUAUAUAGAUAUAUAAUCAAUUAAUUAGUAAGUAGUGUUAUGGUUCUUAAAUUUUUUGUUCUAAAAGCUGGUGUUAUUUUGAUUGUGCUUGGAGAUUUAAUUAUACCAUUAAAUCCGAAGAAAGCAUGUCUAGUCGACCCUGAUUCUUGUUCCACCUUGAAAUGAUAGUUGAGAGACAUCUCUUGCAUCCUCGUCAUCAAACAUUUGUUCGCGUUAACUGCAAGAAAAUCACCAUUCAUUAUCACACUGAAAAAUAAAUAUUCAUGUCAAACCAGUUGACAAUACAUUAUAAAAUUAAAUGAUUGUAAACAUACCAAAUAUCCAUCGGGCUUGAACGAGAGCAACGUCAGGGUUGUGGACAAGAAAGGGGACGGUGCGGAUGAGGUAAUCGGGCUCUGGUUGGAAAUCGGCAUCGAAGACUGCUACGAAAUCGCAUUGCUUGACGUAGCUAUGCGUAAGAGCUUCUUUCAUAGCUCCAGCUUUAUAGCCGUUCCUAUUAUCUCUCCUUUCACACCUUAUGUUUAUGCCUUGGCUUUGCCAUUUUGCAAUCUCUAUGUCCACACCGCCCUGCUUACUCUUUCACAUUUAUCAUACUAUACAUAAAAUGUAUGCAUCCUAAUAUGUGAUGGAUCGAUAUACUAAUCUCGUUUGUAUCGAAAUCUUGUGUCAUAUAUCUUUGACUUGUAAAUCAAAAGAGGAUUCAAUUAUAGGAAAAAGAUAAACAUCUUAGGUGAAAAAUUUGUGAGACAAGUGUUACUCCUAUACUAUUUCUUUGUUUCUCCUAUGAAAGAUAAGAAACACAAAAUAAAGUGUUCAAAAAAAAUUAAGCACUAAUCAAGCGCUUGAAGAGGGUCUGACGCCUAACUAUUUUUUUUUUUUUGUCAUCCGAAAUUAAUUAGAACUCAAAAGAGCCAUUCCUGAUAAUUAUUGGGAAACUUUUUUAUAUUAUUUUAUAUUUCUAUAAUUAAUAAAAUAUAUAUGAUAGUUAAAGAAAUUAUGUAUGUUUCAAUAUAUUUUCUAAUUUUUAAAGUAAAAUAAAAUAUGAUGUUAAAUAUAAAAUAAUAAUGUGUUUUUCUUAUAUCCAAAAUUUUUUUCAUAUAUUCAAAAUAUUUCUCCAUAUUUGUAAUUAUUUAAUAAAUAAUUUGAAAAUAUAUUAGUCCGACAUUUUAACCAAUUAAUUAGAGGUGUAGGUCCAAAACUCGGUUGAAAAAGUUUUUAACUGAUGCGUUUAGAACGUUCAAUUGAUUUGACUGCCUAAGUGGCCGAUUCUUUUUAACAUGCUAUAUAAAUUGUUUGAUUUUUUUGUAAAUCUAAUUAAUAUAUAAUUAAAAAAAAAACAGAAUUCGAACAAGCUACUUACCCUUACGGCCGGAUCCGUAGAAUCAUCUACAACUUGAACUACUAGGCGGCUUGAUGGCCACACCAAACUACAUAUUGCCGCUAUAGAUAAUUGAAAAACCUACAACGAGUAAACAGAGUAUGCAUCAUUAUGUCGUUAGAUCAUUAUGUCGUUAGUUCGUAUUAUAUAUAUAUAUAUAUAUAUAGUGGAGAGUGUAAAAUGUGUAAUCAACCAUAUAAUAAAGAGAGUGUAAUUAAGAAAGGUAUAGUAUGUAUGUAUACCUCUUUUUCAUUGUACAUUGGUAUUUGGAUAAGAACCAUUGGGUAGUUAUCGGGUCCAACCUCAACAUCUUCUUGCAUGGCCUCCCAUUUGUACACUUUAUGGGGUUUACGUCUAAAUAACUUGACGAAGAGUAUCACAAAGUUCAUGUAAAAACUCUCAAAGAACACUAUAAUGGAUAGAACCAAACACAUAACCACCAAACCCUUGAAAACAGGAAGUAAUACAACACUCCUCGUUUUGGUCCACAAAUAUUGGAGUUGGAUCCAUUCAGACUCUGCAGCAUUUUUGUCUGCUUCAAGCCUCUCCUGUUUUGCUGCAGCAUCUUCAAGACUCCCUCCAUUAAACUAAUUCAUGCAUGAGAAAAUAGCUAUUAAUUAUGAAUGUCACAGCAAUUAAUAAAGUAUUCAUAUAUAGAGAGAGCUAUGAAGUACCAGAAGUAAGAGGAGACUAAGAGUGGUGUCGUAGAGGAAGAGGAAGGGCUUCAGAAAUAAAGACAUUGUUGCUCUAGAACUGAAGCUCUCGACAGAGGAGAAGUGGUGGCUUAAUUUUCUUUCUUUCUUGUCACACAAUGACCCUUUUUAUUGACAUUUUUUUUUUAUUGUGAUGACUUUUUACUUUUGACUGGUUUUGUCUCCUUUGUAAUAUGUCACACAAUACUGUUAUGAUCUCCAAAUAAAUUUUUUUUUUUUUUUUCUCACAUUCUAAUUUAAGUGGACGAGGGCGUUAACGUUAUCGCAGCUUCUCUAAGCUGGUAACCACAGAAGGGAACGCAACAAAGAAUAAUCAUCUCCACCUCCUCAUGAUUUUUGUUAGAUUUAUUCCACGUGAUUCAUUCAUCUAAUAUCACUCCACAUUUUAUUAUUAGUAAAUGUUGGUUGUAUUUUGUAACUUAAUUAGUGACGUACGAGUACGACGGUUUCAUAAAUUGUUACAUUUUUACUUGUAAAAUAUUUUUUUAAUCAAAUCAGUAAAUCACACGUCAAAUUAAACUAGCAUUUAUGAUUAGUUAGUUGCCCUCUUAAAAAGUGAAGAGGUUACAAAAUAAACAUCAACUAGAUGAUUUACCCGCACUAUGUGCGGAGAGAAAUAGUUAUAUGAAAUAUAUAAACAAUUUUUUGGAAACCGAUUAUAUAUUAUCACUUGAUAUAUAAGUGUGAAUAUUUGAAUAUAUUUAGUAACUCAUAUAUUUUGGAUAUUUUAUUAGUUAGGAAUUAGGAUAUUCCAUAUUUGGAAUAAGAUUUUAAAUUAAAAUAUUGACCAAAGUUUUUUUUUGAAAUAUCAUUCCUAUAAUUCUGAAAUAUAUUCGAAUAUUUUUUGUAUUUUAAUUAAGAUUUUAUUUUGGAAACAAUUCAAUAUAAAAACUGAAAAGAGUAUGAAUAAUUAUUUUUUAAAUGUAAUAAAAUUUUAUUAUCCUUUAUUAUUCUUGAUAAUUCUAUGUAGUUAGGAUUGAUUUAUUGCAUAUCCCUCAUUUUAUGAAUCAAUUUAUAUUGUUACGAUAAGGUAUUGGGUUGUAAAUAAAUUGUAACUAAAAUGAGUAAAUGACUAAUUAAAUUGAAUAAACCGUGUAAAAGUUUUAAUAAAUUGAUAAGGUAAAAAUUUGAAAAGAAAUAAUAUUGAAAAUAAUGAGUAAGCGGAUACAUUUUUAACAUAGAUUAAUAUUGAAAUAUUGUUCAUAGUGAAUGUGUAAUAAAUGAAAUGUUACUAACUAAUUUAUGUAAAACUAUGUUCCAAAUAUAUUUAAGAAACAUAUGGGCUCACAUAUACAUUUAGAUGUUUUGUAAUUUAUAACAAAAAAUAGAAUGUCAUAUAUGUUAAAAUUCUAAAUGUUUUUUAUAAAACAUAUAAGAAAAUAUAAGUACAAAACAUAUAAUAAACAUUUAUAUUAUAUAUUGUUCAUCAUAAUUUAUGCUAUAUACUUUUUACUUGUUUCGUCAAUUUAUAUAGUUUUUAUUAAUUAAUUUCCUUUAUUAAUUGCUAAUCUCUUAAAUAUAGAGGAGAAAUAUGCAUAAGUACCACUAAUGGCAUUAUAUGUAAUUAGUCUAGUAAAUAUUGGACAAUUGUUAAGUUUGGUCAGAGUUUCUCUGGUUGCGACAUGUUAGCAUGGCAGUCUUGUAAAUCACACGUGAAGGUAAUGUUUUUUAUUUAAAAUGCUUCUCAGUUAAUAUAUAGGGGAUUAAUCUACUUAUAGAGGAAUGAGCCAAAUAGUCGGUCGUCCUAACAUGUUUAAACAGAAAAUCUAUAAUUAUGAUAUUUUAGGAUCGGAGAUUAGUUUUUUCAUAUAUAUUAUAUAUUAAUAAUAAAAUGCAUAUAUUUAAAAUUGAAUUACCACUAUCUAAAAAACUAGUGUGAAAAGAAGACUUUUAAAAUUAUUAUUUAGUUGACAACAAUGGAUAAUCCGAACUGAACCCCAACUAAUUCUACGGGUGAAUGUAAUAGACAAAAGUGAAAGAUUUCCACUAAUUUUGUUUAUGACUAUAAUGUGAUUACCCAAACAAAAGUGAAAGAUUUCCGAAGAGAAACCAAUGAAUUUUACCACCAUGCCACUACAUCGCUUACUUUAAUGGGAGACUCACAAAAAUGCCUCUUUUUCAAUACCCAUUUUCAAAAAUGCCCAUUUUGGAUGUCCAUUUUUAAAAAUACCCCUUUUAUGUACAAAAUGACUAAAUUACCCUUCUUUUAAUAAAAGAUAUCAUAAAUAUAUAAGGAAAUAUAACAAAAUUAGGUCCACAAAAUACAAAAUAUUUUUUGGCGAGAAAAGUGAUCCCCCAAUUUUUCCCGCCAAAACACUUGUAAAAAUUUGUAAAACCUUUAAAUUACCUUGUAAAAUUUUCCCGUAAAAUUUUUUCCCGCCAAAAAAAUUUUUUGGCGGGAAAAAUUUUUACGGGAAAAUUUUACAAGGUAUUUUAAAGGUUUUUACAAGUGUUUUGGCGGGAAAAUUGCGGGAUCACUUUUCCCGCCAAAAAAUAUUUUGUAUUUUGUAGACCUAAUUUUGUUUCAAAUAAGGGUAAAAUGGUCAUUAAAAAUUAAAAGAGGGCAAACUUAAAAAUGGACUCUCAAAAGGGGCAUUUUUGAAAAGGGGUAUUGAAAAAGGGGCAUUUUUAACAAUUUCUCUACUUUUAUUUUAUUUGUUACUACCUUCUUUUUGGGUAGUAUUAUUAAUCUCAUGUGCAUACCAAAUACCUUGCCCCCCUGUAUUUUUAGAAAUGGAGAAUUAAUUAAAUUUGAGAGAAAAUUUUGAAAUUGACUUAUCAAUGAAUCAAACCAUGUGAGCUGCCAAAAAGAAAAGAACAAAACAUCAAAGCAUGAAUUCAAUUUAUAUAUAUGGUAUAUAUUUUGAAAAUACAAAAGGGGAAAAUUCCCAAAAAAAACCUCAAUUAUUUUUUAUUUGGACGUUUAAUACCUAAUUGUUUUCGGUUGGAAGAAAAAUACACAUAUUAAUAAAAUUGUGCGAUUUAAUACCCAAACAAUUAAAUGUUGUUAUUUUCAUACUGACGAUCUAACAAAAAAAAUAAAAUUCCAAUUUUACCCUUACUAUUUCAAUUAAUUAUUAACUUUUAGAUUACGUCACAAUAGUUUUUUAUUUAAAUAAAAAUUAAUUUUAUAAAUAUUUUAUUUCUUUGUUAUCCCAAAAAAAAAUUCAAAAAAAUUUUCAAAAUAAUUUGCAGUUUAUUUUACAAAUAUUUAAUUUUAAAAAUUAAAAAUAAAAUUAAUUAGCAAAAAAUUUAGAAAAAGUAAAAAAAAAAAAUUAGCCAUUUUUAUGAAUUGAUAAAUCUUGAGAGAGACGAUGAGAUUCGGAUUGAGAUUUUGUCGAAAAUAGUUUCAUUCGUGAAGGAUUUAUAUUCGAAUAGAGAGUUUCUCACGACGAAAAAAAAGUUCAUAUUGAUGCUCGUUGAUAUCAUAUGCAUCACGACGAAUCAAAUCAAAUUAGUUUUAUUGGCGAUGAAGAUUUUGGAUAGGAUUAAAAGGAGAUUGCGAAUGGUUAUCGAAUUUGAUGGUUGCAAAAGAGGACGACGGAGAUUGUUUACCGGUAAUUCUCGUAGAUAUUAAUCGAAAAAAUUAGAACCGAAGAGAAAACGUCUCUUUGACAUUGCAAAGACGGAAUAAGAUUGUACAAAUGACUAUUUUUAAUAUUUUUGAUUUUCUGCUAAUUUUUAUGUUUAAUUUUAAAAUAAAAUAAUUAUAUAAAUUUAAAAUUUAUUUUUUAGGCAUCAUAAAAUAAAGCAUUGACAAAAUUAAUUUUUAUUUAAAGAAAAAAAAUAUCACCUUAUUUAAAAGUUAAUAAUUAAUUGAGAUGAUAAGGGUAAAAUUGGAAUAUAUUUUUUGUUGUGAGUUCGUAAGUAUGAAAAUAACAACAUUUGAUUGUUUGGGUAUUAAAUCGCACAGUUUUAUUAAUAUGUGUAUUUUUCUUCCAACCGAAAACAAUUGGGUAUUAAACGUCCAAAUAAAAAAUACAUGAGGUUUUUUUUGGGAAUUUUCCCAAUACAAAAGUGACGAGUGUGGAGAAAGUUACUACAGUUAGUAUUUAAGAAACUGACCAUUUUCUACUGUUAUUUGUCUUCCAAUUUGUUGAUCAAUACAUUAAAAUUUUAACAAAAGAAAAGUAAAUUUUUUAACAAAUGUAUCUGUGUUAGAUUACAUAUGUUGAUAGUUACUUUUUAUGGAAGACAUAAAAUUUUGAGCUUUUCUUUUCACAAUAAUUUUGAGCUUGACAAAAAAAUAAAAAAUUUUUUUUUUUUUUUUUCCGGCAAAUCAAGUAUAUUGAUAUUAAAAAGUGUUUACAAGAUACAUUAAUAUUUCGAAACGACCAAUUACGCAAAUACAUGAAAUUAUUACAAUUUCGAUGAAGGAGUGGAGAGUAACCAUGCUAUCUUUAGACUUAUAGGCUAACAGAUAUAAUCUGUUAUGUCCCCCCUUCACACACUUUUUAUUGGCUAUCAGCAUAUAGUUGAAACUCCAAAAUGUUCUUGGCAUUACAUCAUCUAAAGAAAUGAAAAUAAGUGUCGUUGGAAAUAUUUCUGGAACUUGUCGUCUCAUUGUAAUCAAAGUACUUGAUAGUUCCCGCAAAGAUUCUUUAUGUUCAUCGUGAUAUAUCCGUUGUUUUCUCUCCCACGCUUCUUGCCAUAGUGAUUGUUUCAAGUGAAGCCAAUCAAUAUUUGCAGGUUUAUCCCAUAUAGGACACAAGUCCCUGACGUCUAGUGAUCCUCUAUACCAAGGAACAAAUACAAUGUCGGAUUUUAUGAAUUGACCUUUUGCAAACGUUGCCUUUAUGUAACGAAGCUUCUCGGCAACAACAUCUACAUGUUGGUCAAAAUCAGAGACAAGAAUAUAGUCUCCCCUAACCUGAUUUGCUUUCUCUAUUAAAAGAAUAAUAUGGUUUGAAAGAUACGGAUUUUAAUCUCAUUGGCCCUUUUGGGGAGAAUCAUUCUUUGAAAAACCCCUCUUUAUUCUCACUACCCCCUCUCCUUCCCAAUUUUUUCAUAAACCAAUUUUACCCCUUAUCCUUCCUUUUAUCUAUUUAAUUCUACAUUUAAUUUAAUACCAACAAAUUCUUUAUUCAACCAAUCAAAAACAUUCUCUCUCUUCUCUCAUUAAAAUCUAAACCUAACAAAUCAACCAAUCAAAUCAACCCACCUUUAACGACAUAAAUCCGUCCUACGUCUCUUCUCUUCUUCUUCUUUUUCUUCUUCUUCUUCUUUUUCUUCUUCCUCUUCUUCAUCUUCAGCAGCUCCGAUCUUCUUCUUCAACAGCUCCGACGUUCUUCUUCAGCAGCUCCAACGUUCUUCUUCUCCAUCCACCAUUAAAAGAUUUGUAUCUUCUUCUUCUUACGAUUCAAGCAUCUCCAAACUAAAAGUGAAUUCUUCUUCUUCUUACGAUUCAAUUAAGCAUCUCCAAAUUCUUAUCUCGUCUUUUCUUUUUCUUCUUCUUCUUCUUCAUCCACCAUUGAAGCUUACCAUUAAAGCUUACGAUUAUGCAUCUCCAAAGACAUAUCUCUUCUCUUCUUCUUUUUCUAUUCCCACCAUAUUGUAAGGUAAGUAUACUUGUUUUCUUAGUGUAGUAUGAUUGAGAAAAGUUGAAUUCGUAGCUUGAAUAGGGUUAUUUGUUAAAAUAUUUUAGGAUUGCAGAUUUGGGACAACUGAAACUAUUAGGUACAACUAAGUAGAAUAUUUACGAAAACCCUAAGUUUGGUGCAACUGGGACAAAUGUGUACAACUAUGUUGAUGGUCUGCUACGAAAGUUGUGAAAUUAUAUGCCAAUGAUGGUGACGUUGAUGGAGACGAUGCGGGUGACCAAGGUUGAUUUAUGAGUGCUAUUUAUUAGGAUAAUUUAAAAAACGAUAUUGUUUGUAUUGGUUUUGUUUAUGAAACUUAUAUGUUAUGUGUUGUACAACUAAGUUUUAUGAGUGCUAUUUAUUAGGAUAGUUUAAGAAACGAUAUUGUUUGUAUUGGUUUUGUUUAUGAAACUUAUAUGUUCUGUGUUGUACAACUAUGUUUUAGCAGGUACAACUAUGGUUGAUUGCUUUGUCGUAGCUUUGCAAAUUAAGUUGUUCAGUCUUGGUACAACUAAGUACAACAAGUACAACUAAGGUCUAUUGUCUUGGCCAAUUUUAUAAUAUGAACAAUUAAAACCAAAUUGAAAAACCUAAAAAAAUGCAUACACGAUGGUAAUGAAACUACACAACAAGUUUUUGACAAAAAAUUUCAAAAUUUUCUAAAAUAAUGAAAUUCUUACAUAAAAUCCCACAUUCAUACACUAACAACCUUAUACUUUCAUGGUUACUUUGUAGUUUUGAACUAAAAUUUUAUAAAUUUUUGAAAUACUUGUAUUUUGAUAAAUAUAAAUACACAGAUACAAGAUAAUGGUAUUUUUAUGAGGCAAUACCAUCGGUUCCACGCAGAAAAAUUAAACUAGAGUUGAUAACAACUAGAUUUACUAAAUUCUCUAUAUUGUACAACUAUGAGCAAAAAUGUGCAACCGGGUACAACUGUACAACUAUGAACAAAUUUGUGCUAUUUUUAAUUAUUUUUUUCAAAAAUAACGGCGCCAGGUAAGCUAUUUGUCAGAUUUUUUUAGAUAUUUUUAGAUAUCCUUAGAUUCUUUCAGAUAUUUUUCAGAUAUUUAACUGUUUUUUUAAUAAAAGCCCUUACAACCUACAUAUUUGUCAGAUUUUUUGAAAAAUUAAGAUUUUUUUUUUUUGGUUCAAAACUCUUAGAUUAUAUUCAAUACAUAGAUUCAUACAUAAAAAUAUUAAGAUUUAGAUUCAAAGAUACAUACAUAAUUAGAUAGGUUUUGAACCAAAAAACAUAAACCCAGAAACAUAGUUGUACCUGAUCGUACCAGUUGUACCUAAACAAUUAGCUUCAUACAUAACCUUAGAAACCAAAACACAUCCGAACAAUUGUACAUAAACACUUAGAUUUAUAAAAAACUUUAGAAACCAAACAGCCUUGGGUACAAAAACAGUCUCUCCAUCACCUCUACUAUCACCAACAACCUUGGAUACAAAACAGCCUCUCCAUCACCUCUAUAAUCACCAUAAUCCAUGUUAAAACCAGCAGCCAUGGUCUCACAAUCAGACCUCACUACAGCUGCUAUCUCUGAAUGCUUUGGAUCUAAUUGCUUUUGUCUUUUGACACUUCUAAGAGAGGCAUAUGGUUCACUUCUACAACUAGAUCCUCCUCCUCUCGUAAUAACCAUUGUAAUUAGUAC